GGGUCGAGUGCUGGUGCACAGCGUCGCUUUGCAAGCCUCGCGUGCGGGGUUCGACUCCCCGUCGAUCCACCA
RNAcentral lists this transfer RNA (72 nucleotides) under Micromonospora pallida. Its description in RNAcentral is "tRNA_Pseudo_TGC". Lineage: Bacteria; Bacillati; Actinomycetota; Actinomycetes; Micromonosporales; Micromonosporaceae. RNAcentral also lists the same sequence under 2 other names. The record is from RNAcentral.